RNAcentral lists this ribosomal RNA (486 nucleotides) under uncultured bacterium. RNAcentral describes it as "partial 16S ribosomal RNA". It matches the Rfam family "Bacterial small subunit ribosomal RNA", at positions 30 to 507 of the family's 1533-position model. The record is from RNAcentral.
AUUGAACGCUGGCGGCAUGCCUUACACAUGCAAGUCGAACGGCAGCACGGGUGCUUGCACCUGGUGGCGAGUGGCGAACGGGUGAGUAAUACAUCGGAACAUGUCCUGUAGUGGGGGAUAGCCCGGCGAAAGCCGGAUUAAUACCGCAUACGAUCUACGGAUGAAAGCGGGGGACCUUCGGGCCUCGCGCUAUAGGGUUGGCCGAUGGCUGAUUAGCUAGUUGGGGGGGUAAAGGCCUACCAAGGCGACGAUCAGUAGCUGGUCUGAGAGGACGACCAGCCACACUGGGACUGAGACACCGCCCAGACUCCUACGGGAGGCAGCAGUGGGGAAUUUUGGACAAUGGGCGAAAGCCUGAUCCAGCAAUGCCGCGUGUGUGAAGAAGGCCUUCGGGUUGUAAAGCACUUUUGUCCGGAAAGAAAUCCUUGGCCCUAAUACGGUCGGGGGAUGACGGUACCGGAAGAAUAAGCACCGGCUAACUACGUG